This 224-nucleotide long non-coding RNA is filed under the name Elaeis guineensis (African oil palm). RNAcentral's name for it is "long non-coding RNA (EGUI_LNC008120)". Lineage: Eukaryota; Viridiplantae; Streptophyta; Magnoliopsida; Arecales; Arecaceae. The record is from RNAcentral.
UAGUUCUUUGAUCUGAGGUACAUCGACAGUUCACCUUGAGUGUGUUAUAGUUUGACUAUACCAUAACUUGAUCUCCUAGCCAUUCAAAAUUCUGAGGUGUAUGUUGGCUGUAGCAUAUUCAUUGUAGGAACUAGGUCGCACCAAGAUGGGAUCUAUCAACCUCGAUAGAUGAGAAGAGUAGUCCUAUGAUGAUCGAAAGAUCGAAUCCUUAAGCCCAUGGCCAU